Molecule: long non-coding RNA, 746 nt
Organism: Glycine soja
Lineage: Eukaryota; Viridiplantae; Streptophyta; Magnoliopsida; Fabales; Fabaceae
Exons: 2
Source: RefSeq, a predicted model, not a curated record
UCAAAAGACGAAAACGCGUAAAAGGCUCUCUCUAGUCUCUUGUUCAGAUCUCACCUAUGCCACAAUUUUCACUCAGUGGUAGCCUCUCAAAACGAAUAUUCUUUGCUUAAAUUUUCAUAAUAUUUUUAUAGAAUCACUAUCUUUUUCUUUCUCCAACCGCCACUGCAUCCGAUGCUGUUUCCCUCAUCAUCUUGACGGCAAUUUUGCUGGUUCCUCACCAAAAGUUCAAGACUUCAAGAAAUGGAUCAACAAGUUGAGAGGCAGAAGCGUAGCAAGGAGAUGAAGAGGAAGAGUAGUAGUAAAGUGAACAAGCGCAACAAGUUAAUGAUAUGUUGUCGUUGCCCCUGUCGUGCAGCAACGUGCAUGUUCCGAGGUAUAGGGAGGUGCAUGUUUGUCACAUGUUACCCUGUUGUGCAGUGCUUGGGCUUGGAUGAACAUAGACAUCGCCACCAUCAUUGCAAGCACUUUGAUUGGUGACACCAACCAAAAUGGUUAAUAGACUCAAGCAUUCUUAUGGAGGGAUUUAGGAAAUUUUGAGAAGGAUGAAUAAAUGGUUCAGUUCUCACUUUGGUUCUGUUAUCUUUCCUCUGGUGAUAGUAAUACUAGUACAUAGCUUUACAUCAUUCUUUUCAUUAUGGAUAAACAAUUUGGAAAUUUGGAGGAGUUGUUCUAAGGUCUUAUUGCUCUCCAAUAUGCAAUUCAGCCAUCUCUUUUGGUUAUAGAAAAUUGUCAACAAAUUAUUCAUA